Molecule: ribosomal RNA, 500 nt
Filed under: uncultured bacterium
Lineage: Bacteria
Description: partial 16S ribosomal RNA
Rfam family: Bacterial small subunit ribosomal RNA
Source: RNAcentral
AUUGAACGCUAGCGGCAUGCUUAACACAUGCAAGUCGAACGGCAGCACGGACUUCGGUCUGGUGGCGAGUGGCGAACGGGUGAGUAAUGUAUCGGAACGUGCCCAGUCGUGGGGGAUAACGUAGUGAAAAUUACGCUAAUACCGCAUACGAUCUAUGGAUGAAAGCGGGGGAUCGCAAGACCUCGCGCGAUUGGAGCGGCCGAUAUCAGAUUAGGUAGUUGGUGGGGUAAAGGCCCACCAAGCCAACGAUCUGUAGCUGGUCUGAGAGGACGACCAGCCACACUGGAACUGAGACACGGUCCGGACUCCUACGGGAGGCAGCAGUGGGGAAUUUUGGACAAUGGGCGAAAGCCUGAUCCAGCCAUUCCGCGUGCAGGAUGAAGGCCCUCGGGUUGUAAACUGCUUUUGUACAGAACGAAAAGGUUUCUACUAAUACUAGGAGCUCAUGACGGUACUGUAAGAAUAAGCACCGGCUAACUACGUGCCAGCCGCCGCGGUAA